UUGAACGCUGGCGGCAGGCCUAACACAUGCAAGUCGAGCGGAUGAAGGGAGCUUGCUCCUGGAUUCAGCGGCGGACGGGUGAGUAAUGCCUAGGAAUCUGCCUGGUAGUGGGGGAUAACGUCCGGAAACGGGCGCUAAUACCGCAUACGUCCUGAGGGAGAAAGUGGGGGAUCUUCGGACCUCACGCUAUCAGAUGAGCCUAGGUCGGAUUAGCUAGUUGGGGGGGUAAAGGCCUACCAAGGCGACGAUCCGUAACUGGUCUGAGAGGAUGAUCAGUCACACUGGAACUGAGACACGGUCCAGACUCCUACGGGAGGCAGCAGUGGGGAAUAUUGGACAAUGGGCGAAAGCCUGAUCCAGCCAUGCCGCGUGUGUGAAGAAGGUCUUCGGAUUGUAAAGCACUUUAAGUUGGGAGGAAGGGCAGUAAGUUAAUACCUUGCUGUUUUGACGUUACCAACAGAAUAAGCACCGGCUAACUUCGUG
RNAcentral lists this ribosomal RNA (483 nucleotides) under uncultured bacterium. Its description in RNAcentral is "partial 16S ribosomal RNA". It matches the Rfam family "Bacterial small subunit ribosomal RNA", at positions 30 to 507 of the family's 1533-position model. The record is from RNAcentral.